This 253-nucleotide ribosomal RNA is filed under the name uncultured bacterium. RNAcentral's name for it is "partial 16S ribosomal RNA". It matches the Rfam family "Bacterial small subunit ribosomal RNA", at positions 524 to 776 of the family's 1533-position model. The record is from RNAcentral.
UACGGAGGGUGCAAGCGUUAUCCGGAAUCACUGGGUUUAAAGGGUGAGUAGGCGGAUGAAUAAGUCAGAGGUGAAAUCUUGCAGCUUAACUGUAAAACUGCCUUUGAUACUGUACAUCUUGAAUUAGGUUGAGGUCAGCGGAAUGUGACAUGUAGCGGUGAAAUGCGGAGAUAUGUCAUAGAACACCAAUUGCGAAGGCAGCUGACUAGGCCUUAAUUGACGCUGAGUCACGAAAGCGUGGGGAGCGAACAGG